This is a ribosomal RNA of Otolemur garnettii (small-eared galago), 136 nucleotides long. The record is from Ensembl. Lineage: Eukaryota; Metazoa; Chordata; Mammalia; Primates; Galagidae.
GUCUAUGGCCAUACCACCCUGAACACGCCCGAUCUCGUCUGAUCUUGGAAGCUAAGCAGGGUCGGGCCUGGUUAGUACUUGGAUGGGAGAUUUGUAACUUCAAAUCACAAAGAAGCAGAAAGGGGUACUGGGGGCC